AUAAUACGUUAAAUAAUGAUGAAUAUAAUGAUAAAAAGAAUAAAGAGCAUAAUAAAAUAAUAAAUAGGACAAGUCAGAAUCAACCUCUUCACACUCUUAGCACAUCAUAUCUCAUUCAACAAGUCAUCAUAUCUAUGAGAAUCCCGUUCUCAGAAUUUUUAGAAUCAUCCUCGACACUUUCUGACAUUCAGGAUAAUCUGUUCAUAUAUGGUAUUGAUAUUUCAUGUCACUACAGUUGCUGUAUGCCCUUGGUUAAACUCAUACAGCAUAAUAUGACAUGUGCUCUUCAGACACUGUCAUUUCCUAUAGACUUUAAUGGCACAAGAGAUUCCUGUGCAAUUGUUGUUCUCUGCCUCAUAUUACAUGAAGAGCAUGCC
This 377-nucleotide long non-coding RNA is filed under the name Androctonus crassicauda. Lineage: Eukaryota; Metazoa; Arthropoda; Arachnida; Scorpiones; Buthidae. The record is from RNAcentral.